This 2370-nucleotide long non-coding RNA is filed under the name Homo sapiens (human). RNAcentral describes it as "non-protein coding FAM111A-DT:23". The record is from RNAcentral. Lineage: Eukaryota; Metazoa; Chordata; Mammalia; Primates; Hominidae.
ACAGCGCUCCUCCUUGACGCCGCGAGCAGGACCCUGUCUCACUGACCCCGUGCCCACGGCGGUCCUUGCCUGCUUCUAUUCUCCCGGUUUCCCCAGUCCCGAGUAUUGGAAAGCGAGAGCGAAAGCGAAAGCAUCCUAGUCGCCGGUAGGCUGGCCUGGGCCGGGCUGGAGAGGGAGCAGGAAAUAAAAACUCGGGUGUGGGAGGAGCUGGGACGCUGGCGGCAGAGCCACUGUGGCAGCUUGAGUCUCGCGCGCGCAGGAAGCGGAGGUGGAAGUUGGGGCGCAGGAAUGUGGCUGUCCCCGCCUGUAAAUCAUGGUUGGGGAGGAGUCGCGGAGGCACCAGGCUGGGGUCUGCAGCGCGCCAUCUGCUGCAGCACACAGGAGGCGCUGAGGCUAGUUGGAGACAGAGUCUCACUGUGUCACCCAGGCUGGAGUGAAGUGGCAUGAUCUUGGCUUACUGAAACCUCCAUCUCCCAGGUUCAAGCGAUUCUCAUGCCUCAGCCACUUGAGUAGCUGGGACUACAGGAUUUCGCCAUGUUCCCCAGGCUGGUCUCAAACUCCUGAACUCAGGCAGCCCGCCUACCUUGGCCUCCCAAAGUGCUAGGAUUACAGCCCAAAUGACCCUCCAAGACCCUCUGGAGGCACCCGCAGUGCUCCUUAAUUUGCAGCUCUACAGAAUGAGACCAGCGUGGCAGCCCCCUUUCAGGACAGCUCCCGAGACGAGACGCGAGAGCAGCCCCUAAAUCUCACCCAGCAAAGCCGUUUCUUCCUAACCGGGCUGGGGAGUGCCGCGCGCUGCCAGCAGAUGGCGACAGAGGAUUAGCCUGCGGAAACCGGCCUUUUUAUAGCCAACAAGAGCAAAAGCACACUGCAAUGUCCAAACGAAUUGCAGGCGUUUUCUGCUCCCUGAAGCCUGGGAAUUAAUUUAUAUACUCAGUCCCUUUUCCCUUGGCUGGCCAUUGAAGUAGUUGAACCACAGGAUUGGACUGUCCAGAAUCAUUAGCCAGAGUUCACUGUGAGUGGACGUCUUUUAGUUCUGCUUCAACGCUAUAACCAACCUUUACCAAAAGCAACAACAAAACAAAAAACUGCAGAAACCAAUGAGUUCUGUUCACAAAGGAUGGCUCCUCAUGUCAUCACACCGGCAAGGAAUGGACGAGCCUCUGAUUUUUCUCUUCUUGGCUGACUUUACAAGGUUGGAUGCAGUCCAUGAGGAUCAUGCAGCAAAGACAGAAAGUGCUGGAGAAGCCCAACCUGCAGGGCCUCACCUUUAGCUGGUUUGUGUGGUUCCACUUCAUGUAGCUGUUGGAACACCAGUCUCUCUAAUGUGCUCUAUGGGAUAGCUGUUACCUUCCACUAAUUUAUGUCUAAUACCUAUAAACCUAAAGUAUCUUUUUAAAAAUUUUAUUCCGUCUUUUUGGAGGAAAUUUUUGUGCAUGCCAGAUAUAGUGUCAAGCAUUGGGAUUGCUAAGAUGAACGUAACAUUGUCCUCACCACCCAUUAAGUCACAAUCUAGUAGAUGAGUAAAAGUAAAAAAAAAAAUUAAAAAAAGAGUUAUAACCAUAAUACAGAAGUGAACAGGUUGCAGUGGUAGCACAGAGAGGGCUUCAGGGAUGCUGUCACAGAGGUGGUAACAUUUGAGAUAUAGAUUCCAAAUUCAGAUGUGUUUGCUGUUGCAAAAUUCCAGGGUCUAUGUGCCCAGUUCCUGAACAUUCCAGUGAUAAUUUUUACCUAAAAUUUAGGUGGCAAAUGAAUCUUACUAUAACCACUUGGAACCACUGUGUUUCUGGUCCAUCUUGUGAGGCCCAUCUUUGGUUCAGAGGGAUGGAGGCAGAAGUCAUACGGCAGGUAAGCUCAAGCAGUGAUACAUGACAGGGCUUUCAGAACUGGGGCCAUGAAGAGCAGGCUUUAUUUGCAUGCUGUUUAAAAACAAGAUUUUACAACUGAUUUACCCUAUUAAACACUUCCAUGAAUAACUCAGUGGAGAUUUAUUUGCAAUAGUAGGAUCAGGUGAUUUGAAAUCUUUAGUGUGUGUGGUUGUAGCAGGAGGAGUACUGGGUUCCAGCAUUUAAUAAGAGGACCCAUGGUUUUAUGAAAAUGUCCAGAGAUAUAAUUUUGGUUAAGGUUAUACCUCAUCUUUGGUUGUACAGUUGUUUCUUUUAGUUUCAGUACAAUCUAAAACAGGAAAUGUCAAUUCACAUGGGCAUGUCAGAGAACUUAGUGGCAGCUCCUCCCAUCACAAGCCUGGUUACACGGUUAGGUGGAAAAGACAAGUUGUAUGUAGAGAUCAUUAUCAGAAAUUGCUAAACUCUGUCAUCAAAAACUCUGUUGGAAUGGAUUUUAAAAUUUCUUAAUAAAAGAUGAAACAUG